RNAcentral lists this ribosomal RNA (497 nucleotides) under uncultured bacterium. RNAcentral's name for it is "partial 16S ribosomal RNA". It matches the Rfam family "Bacterial small subunit ribosomal RNA", at positions 28 to 507 of the family's 1533-position model. The record is from RNAcentral.
GAUGAACGCUGGCGGCGUGCCUAAUACAUGCAAGUCGAGCGAACGGACGAGAAGCUUGCUUCUCUGAUGUUAGCGGCGGACGGGUGAGUAACACGUGGAUAACCUACCUAUAAGACUGGGAUAACUUCGGGAAACCGGAGCUAAUACCGGAUAAUAUUUUGAACCGCAUGGUUCAAAAGUAAAAGACGGUCUUGCUGUCACUUAUAGAUGGAUCCGCGCCGCAUUAGCUAGUUGGUAAGGUAACGGCUUACCAAGGCAACGAUGCAUAGCCGACCUGAGAGGGUGAUCGGCCACACUGGAACUGAGACACGGUCCAGACUCCUACGGGAGGCAGCAGUAGGGAAUCUUCCGCAAUGGGCGAAAGCCUGACGGAGCAACGCCGCGUGAGUGAUGAAGGUCUUCGGAUCGUAAAACUCUGUUAUUAGGGAAGAACAUAUGUGUAAGUAACUGUGCACAUCUUGACGGUACCUAAUCAGAAAGCCACGGCUAACUACGUG